GAUGAACGCUGGCGGCGUGCUUAACACAUGCAAGUCGAACGGAAAGGCUCCUGCUUGCCGGGGUACUCGAGUGGCGAACGGGUGAGUAACACGUGGGUGAUCUGCCCUGUACUUCGGGAUAAGCUUGGGAAACUGGGUCUAAUACCGGAUAGGACAACUUUUUGGAUAUUGUUGUGGAAAGCUUUUGCGGUAUGGGAUGAGCUCGCGGCCUAUCAGCUUGUUGGUGGGGUAAUGGCCUACCAAGGCGUCGACGGGUAGCCGGCCUGAGAGGGUGUACGGCAAAAUUGGGUCUGGGGACCGCCCAGGUCGCCGGCGGGGGGCGGGAGGGGGGAAUUUUACACAAGGGGGCGCGCGUGGUUGCGAGGGCGGCGGGGGGGGAUGGAAGGUCUUGGGGUUUAAACCCCUUUCCGGAGGGGAAAAUUGUUUUUUUGGGCGAAACGGGGAGAAGAGGCCCCGGCAACCUCGUG
RNAcentral lists this ribosomal RNA (467 nucleotides) under uncultured bacterium. Its description in RNAcentral is "partial 16S ribosomal RNA". It matches the Rfam family "Bacterial small subunit ribosomal RNA", at positions 28 to 507 of the family's 1533-position model. The record is from RNAcentral.